This 59-nucleotide transfer RNA is filed under the name Apaloderma vittatum (bar-tailed trogon). It matches the Rfam family "tRNA", at positions 8 to 63 of the family's 71-position model. Rfam says of the family: Transfer RNA (tRNA) molecules are approximately 80 nucleotides in length. Their secondary structure includes four short double-helical elements and three loops (D, anti-codon, and T loops). Further hydrogen bonds mediate the characteristic L-shaped molecular structure. tRNAs have two regions of fundamental functional importance: the anti-codon, which is responsible for specific mRNA codon recognition, and the 3' end, to which the tRNAs corresponding amino acid is attached (by aminoacyl-tRNA synthetases). tRNAs cope with the degeneracy of the genetic code in two manners: having more than one tRNA (with a specific anti-codon) for a particular amino acid; and 'wobble' base-pairing, i.e. permitting non-standard base-pairing at the 3rd anti-codon position. Lineage: Eukaryota; Metazoa; Chordata; Aves; Trogoniformes; Trogonidae. The record is from Rfam by way of RNAcentral.
UAGCUCAGUUGGCUAGAGCAUGGUGCUGAUAACACCAAGGUCGCGGGUUCGAUCCCUGU